This 916-nucleotide ribosomal RNA is filed under the name uncultured archaeon. Its description in RNAcentral is "bacterial SSU rRNA". It matches the Rfam family "Archaeal small subunit ribosomal RNA", at positions 1 to 922 of the family's 1478-position model. The record is from RNAcentral.
UUCCGGUUGAUCCCGCCGCCGGACCUGACUGCUAUCGGAUUGAUACUAAGCCAUGCGAGUCAUUGUAGCAAUACAAGGCAUACGGCUCAGUAACGCGUAGUCAACCUAACCUAUGGACGGGAAUAACCUCGGGAAACUGAGAAUAAUGCCCGAUAGAACAUUAUGCCUGGAAUGGUUUAUGUUCCAAAUGAUUUAUCGCCGUAGGAUGGGACUGCGGCCUAUCAGUUUGUUGGUGAGGUAAUGGCCCACCAAGACUAUUACAGGUACGGGCUCUGAGAGGAGUAGCCCGGAGAUGGGUACUGAGACACGGACCCAGGCCCUAUGGGGCGCAGCAGGCGAGAAAACUUUGCAAUGUGCGAAAGCACGACAAGGUUAAUCCGAGUGGUUUCUGCUAAAGGAACCUUUUGUCAGUCCUAGAAACACUGAUGAAUAAGGGGUGGGCAAGUUCUGGUGUCAGCCGCCGCGGUAAAACCAGCACCUCAAGUGGUCAGGAUGAUUAUUGGGCCUAAAGCAUCCGUAGCCGGCUCUGUAAGUUUUCGGUUAAAUCUGUACGCUCAACGUACAGGCUGCCGGGAAUACUGCAAAGCUAGGGAGUGGGAGAGGUAGACGGUACUCGGUAGGAAGGGGUAAAAUCCUUUGAUCUAUUGAUGACCACCUGUGGCGAAGGCGGUCUACCAGAACACGUCCGACGGUGAGGGAUGAAAGCUGGGGGAGCAAACCGGAUUAGAUACCCGGGUAGUCCCAGCUGUAAACCAUGCAAACUCAGUGAUGCAUUGGCUUGUGGCCAAUGCAGUGCUGCAGGGAAGCCGUUAAGUUUGCCGCCUGGGAAGUACGUACGCAAGUAUGAAACUUAAAGGAAUUGGCGGGGGAGCACCACAAGGGUGAAGCCUGCGGUUCAAUUGGAGUCAACGCCGGG